RNAcentral lists this ribosomal RNA (478 nucleotides) under uncultured bacterium. RNAcentral's name for it is "partial 16S ribosomal RNA". It matches the Rfam family "Bacterial small subunit ribosomal RNA", at positions 28 to 507 of the family's 1533-position model. The record is from RNAcentral.
GAUGAACGCUGGCGGCGUGCUUAACACAUGCAAGUCGAACGGGAAACCUUUUAUUGAAGCUUCGGCAGUUUUAGCUGGUUUCUAGUGGCGGACGGGUGAGUAACGCGUGGGUAACCUGCCUUAUACAGGGGGAUAACAACCAGAAAUGGUUGCUAAUACCGCAUAAGCGCACAGGACCGCAUGGUCCGGUGUGAAAAACUCCGGUGGUAUAAGAUGGACCCGCGUUGGAUUAGCUAGUUGGCAGGGUAACGGCCUACCAAGGCGACGAUCCAUAGCCGGCCUGAGAGGGUGAACGGCCACAUUGGGACUGAGACACGGCCCAGACUCAUACGGGAGGCAGCAGUGGGGAAUAUUGCACAAUGGGGGAAACACUGAUGCAGCGACGCCGCGUGAAGGAAGAAGUAUAUCGGUAUGUAAACUUCUAUCAGCAGGGAAGAUAGUGACGGUACCUGACGAAGAAGCCCCGGCUAACUACGUG